This 472-nucleotide ribosomal RNA is filed under the name uncultured Levilinea sp. RNAcentral describes it as "bacterial SSU rRNA". It matches the Rfam family "Bacterial small subunit ribosomal RNA", at positions 898 to 1382 of the family's 1533-position model. Lineage: Bacteria; Bacillati; Chloroflexota; Anaerolineae; Anaerolineales; Anaerolineaceae. The record is from RNAcentral.
AACUCAAAUGAAUUGACGGGCCCCGCACAAGCAGCGGAGCGUGUGGUUUAAUUCGAUGCUACACGAAGAACCUUACCAGGGUUUGACAUACAAGUAGUAGGGAAAGGAAACUGGACCGACCCUUCGGGGAGCUUGAACAGGUGCUGCAUGGCUGUCGUCAGCUCGUGUCGUGAGAUGUUCGGUUAAGUCCGCUAACGAGCGCAACCCUCGCUGUGUGUUACAAGUGUCACACGGAACUGCCGGUCAUAAACCGGAGGAAGGUGGGGAUGACGUCAAGUCAGCAUGGCCUUUAUAUCCUGGGCUACACACACGCUACAAUGGGAAGGGACAAUAGGUUGCGAAACCGCGAGGUGGAGCCAAUCCAGCAAAACUUCCCUCAGUUCAGAUUGCAGGCUGCAACUCGCCUGCAUGAAGUUGGAGUUGCUAGUAAACGCAGGUCAGCCAUACUGCGUUGAAUACGUUCCCGGGGCUU